ACCUGUGACCGCUAUCUCAGGGCGCCAAGCCUGGCCUGGCCUGAGACUGCAGAGAACUCCUGUUGCCACCAGAGGGCGCGCCAACACGACAGACGUCAGCAAAGCCCGCCUUAACGCCAAGAAGAGGGGAAACUAACGCCUGUUGCCAAUACAUUUCCUUUUUUAACUGAAAUGUAGUUGAUACACAAUACUGUGGUAUUUCAGGAGGACCUCAGUCUCCGCGCGCCAAGCCAGGACUCAUGGAAAACGGCAGAGGAUGUGUUAGACCACCAGAGGGCGCUCCGGCACCGCAGGAGCGAGGAAAGCCAGUCUUGCAGCGGAAGUGAAACCGAUCAAGUGUUGCCUGUAAUCAGAUGGUAAAGCGUCUGCGGGAGACCCGGGUUCAGUCCCUGGGUUGGGAAGCUCUCCUGGAGAAGGAAAUUGCAACCCAUUCCAGUACUCUUGCCUGGAAAAUCCCAUGGACGAAGGAGCCUGCAUCAGGGUCUUUUCCAAUGACUCAGCUCUUCGCAUCAGGGGGCCAAAGUAUUAGAACUCCGUGGUACUUGGAGCAGUCUCAAGGCAGGUGGCUCAGUGGUGAAGAAUCCGCCUGCCAAUGCAGGAGACAUGGGUUUGAUCCCUGGAUCGGAAAGAUCCCCUGGAGGAGGAAAUGGCAUCCCAUUCCAGUAUUCCGGCCUGGAGAAUCCCAUGGACAGAGAACCCUGGUGGGCUACAGUCCAUGGGGUCAAAAAGAGUCGGACACAACUUAGAGACUAAACAGCAACAAAAUCUCCUUAGGCUGCCUCACCUGUCCCCUCCCACGGAAACCACAGUAAGGACUCUGCCCCCUCAUCAUGUCCUCACUCCUGUCUGCCUCCUGGCUGAGCUGGUGCUGCCCUGGGGCAUGGUGGGCUCCCCCUUCUUGGGAUCUGAGAAUGGAACCCUGCUGUUUUCACUGCUCGCAUUUCUGACACCAAACAUGUGUUGCUGUUUUCCCACACCAACCACCAGUUCUCCGAUCCUCCAGACCCCUAAUGAGUGCCCCCAGGCACCCAUCAUCUUACCAUCAUUAACAUACAGAAAGGCAUUCUCAGGACUCGAGAUUCCAGGGUUUUCUGAGCUAUCUUGGAUGAAGACCAAAUAUUGAAACAAAUGAUGCUCUUCUCACUUCCGUCACUCAGGAAAUGACAAGGGUUUCAGAAACUCUGUCAGGAACUGGGGACAAAGAUCAAAUACAUAUUUCUUACUGCAUAAUAAACAUACUAUAAUAAUAAAC
This is a long non-coding RNA of Bos taurus (domestic cattle), 1252 nucleotides long. The record is from Ensembl. NCBI's taxonomy places the organism in Eukaryota, Metazoa, Chordata, Mammalia, Artiodactyla, Bovidae.